GAUGAACGCUAGCUACAGGCUUAACACAUGCAAGUCGAGGGGCAGCGGGAAAGUAGCUUGCUACUUUUGCCGGCGAGCGGCGGACGGGUGAGUAAUGCUUAGGAAUCUGCCAUUUAGUGGGGGACAACAUUCCGAAAGGAAUGCUAAUACCGCAUACGUCCUACGGGAGAAAGCAGGGGAUCUUCGGACCUUGCGCUAAAUGAUGAGCCUAAGUCGGAUUAGCUAGUUGGUGGGGUAAAGGCCUACCAAGGCGACGAUCUGUAGCGGGUCUGAGAGGAUGAUCCGCCACACUGGGACUGAGACACGGCCCAGACUCCUACGGGAGGCAGCAGUGGGGAAUAUUGGACAAUGGGCGGAAGCCUGAUCCAGCCAUGCCGCGUGUGUGAAGAAGGCCUUUUGGUUGUAAAGCACUUUAAGCGAGGAGGAGGCUACUAGUAUUAAUACUACUGGAUAGUGGACGUUACUCGCAGAAUAAGCACCGGCUAACUCUGUGCCAGCCGCCGCAGUAAUAC
Molecule: ribosomal RNA, 512 nt
Filed under: uncultured bacterium
Lineage: Bacteria
Description: bacterial SSU rRNA
Rfam family: Bacterial small subunit ribosomal RNA
Source: RNAcentral